CGCGUAGGCGGUUAUGUAAGUCAGAUGUGAAAGACCUUGGCUUAACCAAGGAAUUGCAUUUGAUACUGCACAACUAGAGUAUGGUAGAGGAAAGUGGAAUUUCCGGUGUAGCGGUGAAAUGCGUAGAUACCGGAAGGAACACCAGUGGCGAAGGCGACUUUCUGGACCAAUACUGACGCUGAGGCGCGAAAGCGUGGGGAGCAAACAGGAUUAGAUACCCUGGUAGUCCACGCCAUAAACGAUGAAUACUAGCCGCUUGGCGCAUAAAAGUGCUGGGUGGCGCAGCUAACGCAAUAAGUAUUCCGCCUGGGGAGUACGGCCGCAAGGUUAAA
RNAcentral lists this ribosomal RNA (332 nucleotides) under uncultured bacterium. RNAcentral describes it as "bacterial SSU rRNA". It matches the Rfam family "Bacterial small subunit ribosomal RNA", at positions 568 to 898 of the family's 1533-position model. The record is from RNAcentral.